Long non-coding RNA from Helianthus annuus (common sunflower), 1003 nucleotides. RefSeq lists it as uncharacterized. The record is from RefSeq and is a predicted model, not a curated record. The transcript has 2 exons. Lineage: Eukaryota; Viridiplantae; Streptophyta; Magnoliopsida; Asterales; Asteraceae.
UAUGUGUUAUGUUGAUAUGCUGCCGAAUAGCGGCGUGUCGCACAAUAGAAACCCUACCUGCACCACAUACUCCUGUCAACCGGCCCUCCCAACUCCACCCGGCCAAUCACCAUGCCGCUUUCAAGCUGUUGACAUCUUUUCCGGUGUUCUGAAUCCUCUGUGUGCGAUAACGUUAGGUGUAAUCUGACAUCUUUUCUGGUGUUGUGUCUCCCCGUGUCUCCGGCUUAUAUACACAUAAAUCCAUGAACCGGCGAAUCUUCUUGGAAAACAUGACUCUCCUCCGUAUGCCAUAACGUUAGUUUAAGUUGCUGGCAAGAGCCGUGAAGUUGCAUUUUAUCUAUGAAGAUUAUACUGGGGAUUUCCAUAUUAAAACACACAUAGUGCUCGAGAUGGUAAGGAACGCUUCAACAAUAGGCGUUUAGGGGGAUGAUUCAGAUGGUAGUAUUCCACAGUGGGCAAAACUGUUUGAUCAUGCACAAAAGCCAAUUUCAAUUGUAGAGCUUGAACUUGAGCUUAUCAAAGUCGCCGCCAUCAACGUCGCCUCCUUGGCGCCCAUGUCGUUGCUGCUGACAUUGUGCGUGCUUUUCAUGUGGUUGGAGGUGGCGCCGCCUUUCUAUAUAUUAUAGGAGCCGUUCCGAAUUGGGAUUGAUUUUGGAACAAAGGAAGGCUUCUACAGCGUAGAACAUGUGGUUGGAGGUGAUGCCGUCUUUCUCACUGCAAGAAACAGCCACCUUUUGUCGCCGCUAUUGCCUUGUUUUGUCGCCACUAUUACCUUUUACCGGCGACCUGUCGCCGCUAACGGGUCGUCGCUAUUGAUGGGUCGCUAUUGCCCUUUUUGUCGCCGCUAUUGAUGUCGUCGCCGCUAUUGCCCUAUAGCCGGAGUUUUGCCUGAAAAGAGAUUGUUUCAGUGCUCCAAAUGUGCCAAAAUGUUGGCAAUAUCAACUGCUGUUCAUCAAAUAUAUGUAAUCAAUACAAAAAAAAUAAACUCUGCAAAUCAUAUAUA